UCGAGCGGACAGAUGGGAGCUUGCUCCCUGAUGUUAGCGGCGGACGGGUGAGUAACACGUGGGUAACCUGCCUGUAAGACUGGGAUAACUCCGGGAAACCGGGGCUAAUACCGGAUGCUUGAUUGAACCGCAUGGUUCAAUUAUAAAAGGUGGCUUUUAGCUACCACUUACAGAUGGACCCGCGGCGCAUUAGCUAGUUGGUGAGGUAACGGCUCACCAAGGCGACGAUGCGUAGCCGACCUGAGAGGGUGAUCGGCCACACUGGGACUGAGACACGGCCCAGACUCCUACGGGAGGCAGCAGUAGGGAAUCUUCCGCAAUGGACGAAAGUCUGACGGAGCAACGCCGCGUGAGUGAUGAAGGUUUUCGGAUCGUAAAACUCUGUUGUUAGGGAAGAACAAGUACCGUUCGAAUAGGGCGGUACCUUGACGGUACCUAACCAGAAAGCCACGGCUAACUACGUGCCAGCAGCCGCGGUAAUACGUAGGUGGCAAGCGUUGUCCGGAAUUAUUGGGCGUAAAGCGCGCGCAGGCGGUUUCUUAAGUCUGAUGUGAAAGCCCCCGGCUCAACCGGGGAGGGUCAUUGGAAACUGGGGAACUUGAGUGCAGAAGAGGAGAGUGGAAUUCCACGUGUAGCGGUGAAAUGCGUAGAGAUGUGGAGGAACACCAGUGGCGAAGGCGACUCUCUGGUCUGUAACUGACGCUGAGGCGCGAAAGCGUGGGGAGCGAACAGGAUUAGAUACCCUGGUAGUCCACGCCGUAAACGAUGAGUGCUAAGUGUUAGAGGGUUUCCGCCCUUUAGUGCUGCAGCAAACGCAUUAAGCACUCCGCCUGGGGAGUACGGUCGCAAGACUGAAACUCAAAGGAAUUGACGGGGGCCCGCACAAGCGGUGGAGCAUGUGGUUUAAUUCGAAGCAACGCGAAGAACCUUACCAGGUCUUGACAUCCUCUGACAACCCUAGAGAUAGGGCUUCCCCUUCGGGGGCAGAGUGACAGGUGGUGCAUGGUUGUCGUCAGCUCGUGUCGUGAGAUGUUGGGUUAAGUCCCGCAACGAGCGCAACCCUUGAUCUUAGUUGCCAGCAUUCAGUUGGGCACUCUAAGGUGACUGCCGGUGACAAACCGGAGGAAGGUGGGGAUGACGUCAAAUCAUCAUGCCCCUUAUGACCUGGGCUACACAC
RNAcentral lists this ribosomal RNA (1177 nucleotides) under Bacillus sp. (in: firmicutes). RNAcentral describes it as "bacterial SSU rRNA". It matches the Rfam family "Bacterial small subunit ribosomal RNA", at positions 62 to 1221 of the family's 1533-position model. Lineage: Bacteria; Bacillati; Bacillota; Bacilli; Caryophanales; Bacillaceae. The record is from RNAcentral.